GCCUGGCCGGUUGCCCGCAGCAUUCUACCUGCCGCAUCGGGAAAGGCUGAACCUCGAUGGAGAAGAAAAGGAGACUCCACUGUACGGAACGCUCUCCUGUGCGCAUGCUCCGAGAGAUUUCAUGCCAGGCGGAAGGCACAAGAUACUCCGAUAAUUAACUAUCAAAGGUUGAUGGAGCGCCAUGGAAAUUCACCGAAGGCUGCUAGCCAGGAGGCUCAAGAAGGAAUUGUCAAAAAGGAGAACUAUCCAGACAUUGUCUUUGCAGCCUAAACAGGAAAGAAAACUCAUAGAAUGGUGGAGUGCCUACAGCAAAGGUAAGAGUGGUAACCAUGGAGAAGCACUGCUCCAGAUGCUCAUUCUAGGAAGGAGCUGAUACCCAGGUGAAGAGGGGCUUCAGCAGACAGACUCCAGCUGUCGGUGCCUUCAGGGUCUGCUCAGGUGUGGAGAACUGCCCUGCCCGAUAUCACAGCCUUCUCAGGAUAUGAAUAGCUAUUGCAUCUCUAUGGUGGAAAUAAAUAUUAUAAAAUAGCUGUGCUACUGCCAUCUUUUCCCAGCUUUCCAUUCAGUGGGGUCAUUUUAUAGCUUGUUAUCUGCCAGAUGGGAGUAUUUACACCGUGAAAAUCGGCAAAUACUACAAAUCAAGGAGUCUAACCAGGACCAGAAGGUAGACA
Orcinus orca (killer whale) is the source of this 671-nucleotide long non-coding RNA. RefSeq lists it as uncharacterized. Lineage: Eukaryota; Metazoa; Chordata; Mammalia; Artiodactyla; Delphinidae. The record is from RefSeq and is a predicted model, not a curated record. The transcript is spliced from 5 exons.